RNAcentral lists this ribosomal RNA (484 nucleotides) under uncultured bacterium. Its description in RNAcentral is "partial 16S ribosomal RNA". It matches the Rfam family "Bacterial small subunit ribosomal RNA", at positions 30 to 507 of the family's 1533-position model. The record is from RNAcentral.
AUUGAACGCUGGCGGCAUGCUUUACACAUGCAAGUCGAACGGCAGCACGGGCUUCGGCCUGGUGGCGAGUGGCGAACGGGUGAGUAAUAUAUCGGAACGUACCCAAAAGUGGGGGAUAACGUAGCGAAAGUUACGCUAAUACCGCAUACGAUCUAUGGAUGAAAGCAGGGGACCGCAAGGCCUUGUGCUCCUGGAGCGGCCGAUAUCUGAUUAGCUAGUUGGUGAGGUAAAGGCUCACCAAGGCGACGAUCAGUAGCUGGUCUGAGAGGACGACCAGCCACACUGGAACUGAGACACGGUCCAGACUCCUACGGGAGGCAGCAGUGGGGAAUUUUGGACAAUGGGCGCAAGCCUGAUCCAGCAAUGCCGCGUGAGUGAAGAAGGCCUUCGGGUUGUAAAGCUCUUUUGUCAGGGAAGAAACGGUAGAGGCUAAUAUCCUUUGCUAAUGACGGUACCUGAAGAAUAAGCACCGGCUAACUACGUG